This 433-nucleotide ribosomal RNA is filed under the name uncultured bacterium. Its description in RNAcentral is "partial 16S ribosomal RNA". It matches the Rfam family "Bacterial small subunit ribosomal RNA", at positions 28 to 507 of the family's 1533-position model. The record is from RNAcentral.
GACGAACGCUGGCGGCAUGCCUAACACAUGCAAGUCGAACGAAACCGUCCUGUUUUUGUGCGCUGGUGUGCUUGAGACGGGGUAAGUUACCCGUGGGUACGGAGUCAUUGCCCGUGGGGUAAGUUAAGGCAACUGAGGCUCUUCCCGCCAAGGAUUUAUCGCCUUUUGAUGGGAGUGCGUUGGAUUAGCUAGUUGGUAGGGUACAAGCCUAUUAAGGCGACGAUCCAUAGCUGGUCUGAGAGGAUGAUCAGCCACACUGGGACUGAGACACGGCCCAGACUCCUACGGGAGGCAGCAGUGGGGAAUAUUGGACAAUGGGCGAAAGCCUGAUCCAGCAAUGCCGCGUGAGUGAUGAAGGCCUUAGGGUUGUAAAGCUCUUUUACCCGGGAUGAUAAUGACAGUACCGGGAGAAUAAGCUACGGCUAACUCCGUG